RNAcentral lists this long non-coding RNA (828 nucleotides) under Homo sapiens (human). Its description in RNAcentral is "non-protein coding lnc-RPGR-5:1". Lineage: Eukaryota; Metazoa; Chordata; Mammalia; Primates; Hominidae. The record is from RNAcentral.
CUAAUCUCUCGUCAGAAACUACAAGCCAGAAGAGAGUGGGGGUCAUUAUUAAACAUUCUUAAAGUGUAAAGACCAUCGAGGCUAGGAAGAAACUGCAUCAACUAAUGAGCAAAAUAACCAGCUAACAUCAUAAUGGCAGGAUCAAAUUCACACAUAACAAUAUUAACCUUAAAUGUAAAUGGGCUAAAUGCUCCAAUUCAAAGACACAGACUGGCAAAUUGGAUAAAGAGUCAAAAAACUGCCAACCAAGAAUGUCAUAUCCAACAAAACUGUCCUUCAAAAAUAAAGGGGAAACAAAGACAUUCCCAGAAAACAAAAGCUGAGGGAGUUCAUCACCACUAGACCUGAAUUACCAGAACUGCAAAAGGGAGUACUUCAAAUUGAAGCAAAAGCACACUAGACAACAAUAUAAAAGCAAAGAAAAUAAAAAUAUACAACUUUUUAGUAAAGGUGAAUAUUAAUAUAUAGACAAAUACAGAAUCCUGUAAUGCUGUAGUUGUGGUGCAUAGAUCACUUAAUUCAGGUAUAGAAUUUAAAAUAUAAAAGAAUAAGAAAAUAACUAUGGUUAUAAGCUAUGUUAAUGGCUACAAAAUAUAAAAAUAUAGAAUUUAUGACAUGGAUGAGCAUAAAGUAGGGGGAGGGAGGUGUAAAGAAGUAGAGGUAUUGCAUGUGACUAAAGUUAAGUUGUUAUCAGUUUACAAUAGAUUGAUAUAAAUAUAUAAUGCUUUAGGUAGUCCCCAUGGUAACCACAAAAAUACCAAUAGAAGAUGAACAAAAGAAAAUGAUAAAAUAAUAAAACCAUGUCACUGCAAGAAAAUCAAAGCAAUA